AACCCCGGCGAGGGGAGUGAAAAAGAACCUGAAACCGUGUACGUACAAGCAGUGGGAGCACAGAGCAAUCUGUGUGACUGCGUACCUUUUGUAUAAUGGGUCAGCGACUUAUAUUCUGUAGCAAGGUUAACCGAAUAGGGGAGCCGAAGGGAAACCGAGUCUUAACUGGGCGUUAAGUUGCAGGGUAUAGACCCGAAACCCGGUGAUCUAGCCAUGGGCAGGUUGAAGGUUGGGUAACACUAACUGGAGGACCGAACCGACUAAUGUUGAAAAAUUAGCGGAUGACUUGUGGCUGGGGGUGAAAGGCCAAUCAAACCGGGAGAUAGCUGGUUCUCCCCGAAAGCUAUUUAGGUAGCGCCUCGUGAAUUCAUCUCCGGGGGUAGAGCACUGUUUCGGCAAGGGGGUCAUCCCGACUUACCAACCCGAUGCAAACUGCGAAUACCGGAGAAUGUUAUCACGGGAGACACACGGCGGGUGCUAACGUCCGUCGUGAAGAGGGAAACAACCCAGACCGCCAGCUAAGGUCCCAAAGUCAUGGUUAAGUGGGAAACGAUGUGGGAAGGCCCAGACAGCCAGGAUGUUGGCUUAGAAGCAGCCAUCAUUUAAAGAAAGCGUAAUAGCUCACUGGUCGAGUCGGCCUGCGCGGAAGAUGUAACGGGGCUAAACCAUG
Molecule: ribosomal RNA, 670 nt
Filed under: Escherichia coli
Lineage: Bacteria; Pseudomonadati; Pseudomonadota; Gammaproteobacteria; Enterobacterales; Enterobacteriaceae
Description: partial 23S ribosomal RNA
Rfam family: Bacterial large subunit ribosomal RNA
Source: RNAcentral